RNAcentral lists this ribosomal RNA (484 nucleotides) under uncultured bacterium. Its description in RNAcentral is "partial 16S ribosomal RNA". It matches the Rfam family "Bacterial small subunit ribosomal RNA", at positions 30 to 507 of the family's 1533-position model. The record is from RNAcentral.
AUUGAACGCUGGCGGCAGGCCUAACACAUGCAAGUCGAGCGGAUGAAGGGAGCUUGCUCCUGGAUUCAGCGUCGGACGGGUGAGUAAUGCCUAGGAAUCUGCCUGGUAGUGCGGGAUAACGUCCGUAAACGGGCGCUAAUACCGCAUACGUCCUGAGGGAGAAAGUGGGGGAUCUUCGGACCUCACGCUAUCAGAUGAGCCUAGGUCGGAUUAGCUAGUUGGUGGGGUAAAGGCCUACCGAGGCGACGAUCCGUAACUGGUCUGAGAGGAUGAUCAGUCACACUGGAACUGAGACACGGUCCAGACUCCUAAGGGAGGCAGCAGUGGGGAAUAUUGGACAAGGGGGGAAAGCCUGAGACAGGCAGGCAGCGUGUGUGAAGAAGGUCUUCGGAUUGUAAAGCACUUUAAGGUGGGAGGAAGGGCAGUAAGUUAAUAACUUGCUGUUUUGACGUUACCAACAGAAGAAGCACCGGCUAACUUCGUG